Molecule: ribosomal RNA, 87 nt
Filed under: Enterobacter roggenkampii
Lineage: Bacteria; Pseudomonadati; Pseudomonadota; Gammaproteobacteria; Enterobacterales; Enterobacteriaceae
Description: partial 16S ribosomal RNA
Rfam family: Bacterial small subunit ribosomal RNA
Source: RNAcentral
AAAUUGAAGAGUUUGAUCAUGGCUCAGAUUGAACGCUGGCGGCAGGCCUAACACAUGCAAGUCGAGCGGCAGCGGGAAGUAGCUUGC